CCUACGGGAGGCUGCAGUGAGGAAUAUUGGUCAAUGGUCGGGAGACUGAACCAGCCAAGCCGCGUGAGGGAUGAAGUAUUUCGGUAUGUAAAGCUCUAUCAGCAGGGAAGAAAAUGACGGUACCUGAUUAAGAAGCCCCGGCUAACUACGUGCCAGCAGCCGCGGUAAUACGUAGGGGGCAAGCGUUAUCCGGAUUUACUGGGUGUAAAGGGAGCGUAGACGGCAGCACAAGUCUGGAGUGAAAUGCCGGGGCUUAACCCCGGAACUGCUUUGGAAACUGUGCAGCUAGAGUGCAGGAGAGGUAAGUGGAAUUCCUAGUGUAGCGGUGAAAUGCGUAGAUAUUAGGAGGAACACCAGUGGCGAAGGCGGCUUACUGGACUGUAACUGACGUUGAGGCUCGAAAGCGUGGGGAGCAAACAGGAUUAGAUACCCGGGUAGUC
RNAcentral lists this ribosomal RNA (440 nucleotides) under uncultured bacterium. Its description in RNAcentral is "partial 16S ribosomal RNA". It matches the Rfam family "Bacterial small subunit ribosomal RNA", at positions 338 to 795 of the family's 1533-position model. The record is from RNAcentral.